GUGGCUCCUACAAAGCAGACUGCUUGCACAUUAACUGGUGGUAAAGCAUCCAGGAAGCAACUGACUACAAAGGCUGCUUACAAGAGUGCACCCUCUCCUGGAGUGGUGAAGAAACCUCAUUGUUACAGGCCUGGUACUGUGGCACUCCAUGAAAUCAGUUGUUUCUGGAAGUCCACUGAACUUCUGAAUCACACACUUCCCUUCCACGGUCUGGCUUGAGAAAUUGCUCAGGACUUCAAAUCAGACCAGUGCGUCCAGAGCGCAGCUAUUGGUGCUUUGCGGGAGGCAAGUGAGGCCUAUCUGGUUGUCCUUUUUGAAGACACCAGCCUGUGUGCUGUCCAUGCCAAAUGUAUAACAAUUAUGCCAAAAGAC
Molecule: long non-coding RNA, 372 nt
Filed under: Homo sapiens (human)
Lineage: Eukaryota; Metazoa; Chordata; Mammalia; Primates; Hominidae
Description: non-protein coding lnc-PLAA-2:1
Source: RNAcentral